GGGCGAUGUGCAGCGCUUGGCCGAGCCCCGGCGGCACCGCGGCCGCAGCAGCAGGAAAAGAAAAAGAAGAAAAGAAGAGCCAGGAGGAUAGGUUGUUCAGUUUACUACCGGAGACCUGACUGUGACAGACCACCAAGAAAACAAAAUGUUCAAAGAGAGUACAAGAAGACCUUCUGCAGCAUCUGCGAGUCUGUCCUUUUUUCUUCAGAGUUACGUAGGAUAACUUAGCCAGAACUUAUUGAUGUCUGCAUGUUCAGUGGACUCGGGAAUGGACUGGGAGAUGCAGAAACGUACUCUUUGGAAGAAACGGGAGAGGAGGCAUUUCAAAGAUCCUGCAGGUGACAAAGAUCUCAGCUGGUGUCACCAUAACACUUGGAAAAUAUCCUCAGGAUGCCGGGAACCAUUAAAGCAGUGCAGAUUAUCAGAAGAUAAACUUCCACUUCAGCUGCCACCACUACCAGAAGUGACCAAAAAGAAAUGUUUGGGAAAUGAAAGAUGAAGAAUCAAAGCAUUGACAUUCUGGGGAUAUUACAGAGCAAAUGCAAGGGUAUCUAGAGGUCAGUCAGAACCCAUUUGAAACAAAGCAGGCUGAUAAAUAAAAUAAAUAAAUCAUAUUCUGAAACAAACCAUCAGCUUUUAAAAGAUAAUUAAAGGACAAGUUAUCUGGUGUUCCUCCUGAGCUUGGAUUUAUUUUGUAAGUGGUAUCAUAGGUGAAGCUAUGACACAGUGAUUUAUCUAUGCUUUGAG
This is a long non-coding RNA of Vidua chalybeata, 747 nucleotides long. RefSeq lists it as uncharacterized. Lineage: Eukaryota; Metazoa; Chordata; Aves; Passeriformes; Viduidae. The transcript has 3 exons. The record is from RefSeq and is a predicted model, not a curated record.